GACGAACGCUGGCGGCGUGCUUAACACAUGCAAGUCGAACGGUGAAGCGCCUUCCUUUUUGGUGGGUGUGGAUGAGUGGCGAACGGGUGAGUAACACGUGAGUAACCUGCCCCCUUCUUCUGGAUAACCGCAUGAAAGUGUGGCUAAUACGGGAUAUUCUGGGUCUGUCGCAUGAUGGGUCUGGGAAAGAUAUUGUUUCGGUGGGGGAUGGGCUCGCGGCCUAUCAGCUUGUUGGUGGGGUGAUGGCCUACCAAGGCGGUGACGGGUAGCCGGCCUGAGAGGGUGGACGGUCACACGGGGACGGAGACACGGCCCAGACUCCUACGGGAGGCAGCAGUGGGGAAUAGUGCACAAUGGGCGCAAGCCUGAUGCAGCGACGCCGCGUGAGGGAUGGAGGCCUUCGGGUUGUGAACCUCUUUCGCCAGUGAAGCAGGCCUGCCUCGUUUGUGGGUGGGUUGACGGUAGCUGGAUAAGAAGCGCCGGCUAACUACGUG
Molecule: ribosomal RNA, 494 nt
Filed under: uncultured bacterium
Lineage: Bacteria
Description: partial 16S ribosomal RNA
Rfam family: Bacterial small subunit ribosomal RNA
Source: RNAcentral